GACGAACGCUGGCGGCGUGCCUAAUACAUGCAAGUCGAGCGAUGAAGAUUGGUGCUUGCGCCCAUUUGAAGAGCAGCGAACGGGUGAGUAACGCGUGGGGAAUCUGCCUUUGAGCGGGGGACAACAUUGGGAAACGAAUGCUAAUACCGCAUAACAACUUUAAACAUAAGAUUUAAGUGUGAAAGAUGCAAUUGCAUCACUCAAAGAUGAUCCCGCGUUGUAUUAGCUAGUUGGUGAGGUAAAGGCUCACCAAGGCGAGGAUACAUAGCCGACCUGAGAGGGUGAUCGGCCACAUUGGGACUGAGACACGGCCCAAACUCCUACGGGAGGCAGCAGUAGGGAAUCUUCGGCAAUGGACGAAAGUCUGACGAGCAACGCCGCGUGAGUGAAGAAGGGUUUCGGAUCGUAAAACUCUGUUGGUAGAGAAGAAAGUUGGUGAGAGUGGAAAGCUCAUCAAGUGACGGUAACUACACAGAAAGGGACGGCUAACUACGUG
Molecule: ribosomal RNA, 496 nt
Filed under: uncultured bacterium
Lineage: Bacteria
Description: partial 16S ribosomal RNA
Rfam family: Bacterial small subunit ribosomal RNA
Source: RNAcentral